AUGAUUUCCAUUAUUUUGAGUUUGUGUUUGAAAUUGAAAAUUCUUCUACUCUGUGUGUGUUUUGUCAUUGUUGUGCACGAAGACGAGAAAACCGUGAACUGGAGGUUAAGGAAGGCACGAAAUCGGAAACGUGAUGGAGCUAAUGAAUGCCGAGAAGAAGAAUGGAGGCAAGGAAUCAGUGGUUGUGGUGACAAUUUCUGGCGGUGUACGGUGGAAGAAGGUGUUUGA
Vicia faba (fava bean) is the source of this 228-nucleotide non-coding RNA. NCBI's taxonomy places the organism in Eukaryota, Viridiplantae, Streptophyta, Magnoliopsida, Fabales, Fabaceae. The record is from the annotation of a GenBank genome assembly.